CCGAGUAACGGUCGUAAGUCGCCGAUUCAGGUAUGGAAGUCGCCUAGUUAAGGGCUAACUCGGCGAGUUUCUAGGGUCAAGAUGUACAGUCUACCAUACUGCCGAUCUUGCCUUAACUCGGCGAGUUAUCCUGUAUGUCGGCGACUUGGUAGUCCAAUCGGGCGACUUUACGGGCUAACUCGGCGAUCUGGACGAUGAACGUGUUCCGCACCGUGGGAGCUCUCCGGGGGUCCUGCCAUAGCG
RNAcentral lists this long non-coding RNA (243 nucleotides) under Zostera marina. Its description in RNAcentral is "long non-coding RNA (ZMAR_LNC005781)". The record is from RNAcentral. Lineage: Eukaryota; Viridiplantae; Streptophyta; Magnoliopsida; Alismatales; Zosteraceae.